RNAcentral lists this long non-coding RNA (418 nucleotides) under Nicotiana benthamiana. RNAcentral's name for it is "long non-coding RNA (NBEN_LNC019683)". The record is from RNAcentral. Lineage: Eukaryota; Viridiplantae; Streptophyta; Magnoliopsida; Solanales; Solanaceae.
AAAUGUCAAGAAAGGUAGAAUGUAUUCUGCAUUUAAAAUGAGUGCUUCGGCUCUCAUUUUUUACACCAACAAAGAGAGAAAGAAAGAGUGAGGUUUCAAAGGCAAGGCAUAAGAAACUGUGAGAAAAAUAGAGAGUGAACGAUAUUAUAGUAAGGUAGAAAUAUCAAAAGAGGGUUAUUUCUUUUGAUUAUUGUAGUAGUCUUUGGAGUAUUUUACUCGAAACUACAAGGUGUAAAAAUUCCUUACUAUAGUGAUAUCAAUUGCUCCUCUCACGGCCGUAGUUUUUUCCCUUAUUCAGAAGGGUUUUUCCCGUUAAAAUCUUGGUGUCAUUGUUACUCUAUUACUCUUGUUAAUUACCGUAUCUCGGUGCUACAUUAUUAUUCCGCUUUUAUUACCGUGAAUAUUAUUUUGGUAGGGG